UGCUUCGGAAUCUACCUUAUGGUGGGGAAUAACUAGCCGAAAGGUUAGCUAAUACCGCAUACGUCCUACGGGAGAAAGCAGGGGAUCGCAAGACCUUGCGCCAAAAGAUGAGCCGAAGUCGGAUUAGCUAGUUGGUAGGGUAACGGCCUACCAAGGCGACGAUCCGUAGCUGGUCUGAGAGGACGACCAGCCACACUGGGACUGAGACACGGGCCCAGACUCCUACGGGAGGCAGCAGUGGGGAAUAUUGGACAAUGGGGGGAAACCCUGAUCCAGCGACGCCGCGUGUGUGAAGAAGGC
Molecule: ribosomal RNA, 300 nt
Filed under: uncultured Sinobacteraceae bacterium
Lineage: Bacteria; Pseudomonadati; Pseudomonadota; Gammaproteobacteria; Nevskiales; Nevskiaceae
Description: bacterial SSU rRNA
Rfam family: Bacterial small subunit ribosomal RNA
Source: RNAcentral